UGCUGAGCUCCCCUUCCCUGAGGCCCCGACGUGUGUGCUGCGCUCCUCGGCUCCUGGGGCUUCUGUGGCUGAGGGGCUGCAUCUGCCUCAGCCUGGCUGUGACCCGCUCAGCCGUGCUUCCCCUCUUUCAGCCGGUGGCUGCUGGCAGUGGAAUCCCCCAGAUCAAGUGCUUCCUCAACGGGGUGAAGAUCCCCCACGUGGUGCGGCUCAAGACGUUGGUGAUCAAAGUGUCCGGUGUGAUCCUGUCCGUGGUCGGGGGCCUGGCUGUGGGAAAGGUAACAAAGUGCACAUGGCCACCCCAGCUGGAGCCUGAGGCUGCCAGGCCCGCGAGGGCCGCCACGCCCACGUGUGUCUCUCUGAGCGCAGGUCCUUCUGGUCUCCAGGAAGGGCCGCGUCGCGUGUGUCUCUGAGCACCGGUCCUUCUGGUCUCCAGGAAGGGCCG
RNAcentral lists this small RNA (442 nucleotides) under Pongo abelii (Sumatran orangutan). RNAcentral describes it as "retained intron". Lineage: Eukaryota; Metazoa; Chordata; Mammalia; Primates; Hominidae. The record is from RNAcentral.